Molecule: long non-coding RNA, 464 nt
Organism: Gymnogyps californianus (California condor)
Lineage: Eukaryota; Metazoa; Chordata; Aves; Accipitriformes; Cathartidae
Exons: 3
Source: RefSeq, a predicted model, not a curated record
AAGAAGAGGGCAGCGCCGGGUUGCGGUGUUUUCCGUGCCCUGGCGUAGGCAAUAUGAGCUUGGUAUCAGAAAUGCAGUGUAAAGCUUGUGCUGACCUGGCAGGAGAGAAGCAGCGCUGAGGGAACUGGAAGGAUAAACAACAGCCCGGUUCAUCGGCACAGGAGUGAAGAACUGCAUGCGGAAAAGGAACGGGGCAGCCUUCCUACCAUAGCUGUGUCCAGAGCCGGCUGUCACUUCUCCCAACGGACGAUGGCACCUGAGCCGGUUUGGAAUCUGCAGUCCUAACAAGCUCAGCCAAGUUUUGUAAGCUGAAGAUCUCCAUUUAUCUUUAUCGUGUCAAUUGCUGACAGUGUUUCAAUACGGUGGUAAAAAUCAAAGAGCUGAUGUCCAUCCACAAAUAUUCUAAAACGGGGAUGCUCGCAAAGUAUCUCAACCUGUAAAAAAUAAAAUUAUGAAGUACGUUG